Molecule: transfer RNA, 74 nt
Filed under: Rubrobacter xylanophilus
Lineage: Bacteria; Bacillati; Actinomycetota; Rubrobacteria; Rubrobacterales; Rubrobacteraceae
Description: tRNA-His
Rfam family: tRNA
About the family: Transfer RNA (tRNA) molecules are approximately 80 nucleotides in length. Their secondary structure includes four short double-helical elements and three loops (D, anti-codon, and T loops). Further hydrogen bonds mediate the characteristic L-shaped molecular structure. tRNAs have two regions of fundamental functional importance: the anti-codon, which is responsible for specific mRNA codon recognition, and the 3' end, to which the tRNAs corresponding amino acid is attached (by aminoacyl-tRNA synthetases). tRNAs cope with the degeneracy of the genetic code in two manners: having more than one tRNA (with a specific anti-codon) for a particular amino acid; and 'wobble' base-pairing, i.e. permitting non-standard base-pairing at the 3rd anti-codon position.
Source: RNAcentral
GUGGCCGUAGCUCAGUCGGUAGAGCAUCGGAUUGUGGCUCCGAAGGUCGCGGGUUCGAAUCCCGUCGGUCACCC